UAUUUUGAACUGUAAAUUUUUAAUACCUAAAUAUUAUGAGAAUUUACUUAAAAUUUAAAGAACUUGGCGGUAUCUUAGACUUCUUAGGGGAACCUGUGUUUUAAUCGAUGAUCCUCGUUUUACCUUACCUUUCUUUGUUUUCAGUUUGUAUACCGUCGUCGUUGGUUAACAUCAGAGAUUAUAAAAGUUGGCUUAUAAAAUAAAUUGUUUGAAAUGUCAGAUCAAGGUGCAACUUAUAGAUUGGUUAAUAUGGGUUACAAUUAUGAAUUUAUAAUAUGGAUAAUUUUUUGAAAUUAUUAUUUGAAGGAGGACUUAAAAGUAAUUUAAUUU
This 330-nucleotide ribosomal RNA is filed under the name Abbottella moreletiana. RNAcentral describes it as "partial 12S ribosomal RNA". The record is from RNAcentral. Lineage: Eukaryota; Metazoa; Mollusca; Gastropoda; Littorinimorpha; Annulariidae.